This 660-nucleotide ribosomal RNA is filed under the name uncultured bacterium. RNAcentral's name for it is "bacterial SSU rRNA". It matches the Rfam family "Bacterial small subunit ribosomal RNA", at positions 727 to 1388 of the family's 1533-position model. The record is from RNAcentral.
UCNUGGGAUAACACUGACGUUCAUGCCCGAAAGCGUGGGUAGCAAACAGGAUUAGAUACCCUGGUAGUCCACGCCCUAAACGAUGUCGAUUAGCUGUUGGGCAGCAUGACUGCUUAGUAGCGAAGCUAACGCGUGAAAUCGACCGCCUGGGGAGUACGGUCGCAAGAUUAAAACUCAAAGGAAUUGACGGGGACCCGCACAAGCGGUGGAUGAUGGGGAUUAAUUCGAUGCAACGCGAAGAACCUUACCUGGUCUUGACAUGUACGGAACCCUCCAGAGACGGAGGGGUGCCUUCGGGAGCCGUAACACAGGUGCUGCAUGGCUGUCGUCAGCUCGUGUCGUGAGAUGUUGGGUUAAGUCCCGCAACGAGCGCAACCCUUGUCAUUAGUUGCCAUCAUUAAGUUGGGCACUCUAAUGAGACUGCCGGUGACAAGCCGGAGGAAGGUGGGGAUGACGUCAAGUCCUCAUGGCCCUUAUGACCAGGGCUUCACACGUCAUACAAUGGUCGGUACAGAGGGUAGCCAAGCCGCGAGGUAGAGCCAAUCUCACAAAACCGAUCGUAGUCCGGAUUGCACUCUGCAACUCGAGUGCAUGAAGUCGGAAUCGCUAGUAAUCGCAGGUCAGCAUACUGCGGUGAAUACGUUCCCGGGUCUUGUACAC